GUGGGGAAUAUUGGGCAAUGGGCGAAAGCCUGACCCAGCAACGCCGCGUGAAGGAAGAAGGUUUUCGGAUCGUAAACUUCUAUCCUUGGUGAAGAUAAUGACGGUAGCCAAGAAGGAAGCCCCGGCUAACUACGUGCCAGCAGCCGCGGUAAUACGUAGGGGGCAAGCGUUGUCCGGAAUGAUUGGGCGUAAAGGGCGCGUAGGCGGCCCGGUAAGUCUGAAGUGAAAGUCCUGCUUUUAAGGUGGGAAUUGCUUUGGAUACUGUCGGGCUUGAGUGUAGGAGAGGUAAGCGGAAUUCCCGGUGUAGCGGUGAAAUGCGUAGAGAUCGGGAGGAACACCAGUGGCGAAGGCGGCUUACUGGACUGUAACUGACGCUGAGGCGCGAAAGUGUGGGGAGCAAACAGGAUUAGAAACCCCGGUAGUCC
Molecule: ribosomal RNA, 425 nt
Filed under: uncultured bacterium
Lineage: Bacteria
Description: partial 16S ribosomal RNA
Rfam family: Bacterial small subunit ribosomal RNA
Source: RNAcentral